Molecule: non-coding RNA, 276 nt
Organism: Pelobates cultripes (western spadefoot toad)
Lineage: Eukaryota; Metazoa; Chordata; Amphibia; Anura; Pelobatidae
Source: the annotation of a GenBank genome assembly
CUAUUGCAAAUGGUAUGCCAAUAUGGGUGUAAAUUUCAUUCCUGGGCUACUAUACAGUCUCAAAGGCAACGUAGCCAAUCUGGCGAAUUUCAAUUUCAAAUGUAACGUGCUAUAUUUGACCCUGUAACUUCCCAAAACGCCAUAAAACCUGUACAUAGGGGGUACUGUUUUACACGUGAGACUUUGCUGAAUAAAAAUAUGUGUAUUUUAUUGCAGUAAAAGCAAACAGUAUUAUGACAUUGACAGUUAAAAUGUCAUGUAGAACUAAAAAAAUUA